AACGAACGCUGGCGGCGUGGAUAAGACAUGCAAGUCGAACGCUGGUUUGAGGGUAGCAAUAUCACCAAACCGGAGUGGCGCAAGGGUGCGUAACACGUGGGCAAUCUACCGCAAAGACUGGAAUAACCUGCUGAAAAGUGGGCUAAUGCCGGAUGUUGUUUUCGAGGGGCAUCCCUUGAAACCAAAAGUUGGGGACCGAAAGGCCUAAACGCUUUGCGAUGAGCCCGCGGCCUAUCAGCUAGUUGGCGAGGUAAUGGCUCACCAAGGCUAAGACGGGUAGCUGGUCUGAGAGGACGACCAGCCACACUGGAACUGAGACACGGUCCAGACACCUACGGGUGGCAGCAGUCGAGAAUUUUUUCACAAUGGGGGAAACCCUGAUGGAGCGACGCCGCGUGGGGGAUGAAGGGCUUCGGCU
Molecule: ribosomal RNA, 418 nt
Filed under: uncultured bacterium
Lineage: Bacteria
Description: bacterial SSU rRNA
Rfam family: Bacterial small subunit ribosomal RNA
Source: RNAcentral